GAUGAACGCUGGCGGCGUGCCUAAUACAUGCAAGUCGAGCGAACAGACGAGGAGCUUGCUCCUCUGACGUUAGCGGCGGACGGGUGAGUAGCACGUGGAUAACCUACCUAUAAUACUGGGAUAACUUCGGGAAACCGGAGCUAAUACCGGAUAAUCUAUUGAACCGCAUGGUUCAAUAGUGAAAGACGGUUUUGCUGUCACUUAUAGCUGGAUCCGCGCCGCAUUAGCUAGUUGGUAAGGUAACGGCUUACCAAGGCGACGAUGCGUAGCCGACCUGAGAGAGUGAUCGGCCACACUGGAACUGAGACACGGUCAAGACUACUACGGGAGGCAGCAGUAGGGAAUCUUCCGCAAUGGGCGAAAGCCUGACGGAGCAACGCCGCGUGAGUGAUGAAGGUCUUCGGAUCGUAAAACUCUGUUAUUAGGGAAGAACAAAUGUGUAAGUAACUAUGCACGUCUUGACGGUACCUAAUCAGAAAGCCACGGCUAACUACGUG
Molecule: ribosomal RNA, 497 nt
Filed under: uncultured bacterium
Lineage: Bacteria
Description: partial 16S ribosomal RNA
Rfam family: Bacterial small subunit ribosomal RNA
Source: RNAcentral